Molecule: long non-coding RNA, 837 nt
Filed under: Cyanistes caeruleus (blue tit)
Lineage: Eukaryota; Metazoa; Chordata; Aves; Passeriformes; Paridae
Description: lncRNA (ENSCCEG00000004862.1)
Source: RNAcentral
AUGUGGGGAAUUUUCUCCUUCUCACCCUACUUGGGAGGAUGGGAGCUUCUGUCUUCCUUGGGAGAAGUACAGUUGCUGCCAAGGGAAACACAGCUGAGGAGCAGUAGUGACCCAGCCUUCCCUUUGCUUCCUUUCUUCUUCCCUCCCUGCUGCACAGCUCCUUGGUGCCAGAAGCGCAGUGCUGCCUCACCUGAGGAUUCAGAGCUGCCUCCAGGCCCUUCCAGGACAAGUCCAGAUCCUCAAGGGCGUGAAGCUUCCCCAGCACGUGCCAAGAAAGUGUUUGCUACAUCUGGACUUGGGGUUUCAUCAGGCCAGCCAGGCACACACAAAUUUCAAUUCCAGCCAGAGCUCAUGACUCCACCAUUUCCUGCGCACCAUCAAAGCACUUCUGCGGCCUCUCCAGAGAGCAGCAGCUGCACUUCUCCAGAGCAGCACUUGCCAGCCAACAUCCCAUCAGCUGCCCCGGGCACUUCAGUCCCCAGUGCUCCAGCUGGCAGUGCUGGUUAUGCAGCAUGGAGAGCCCCAAGCUGGGUCUGGAGUACUCCUGGGGAAGAGGAAUUGCCACCGCUGGAUCUGGACCUUGUUCUGGAGACACUGGAGGAGAUGCUUUCACCAUCUGUGCCUGAAAGGUCUCCCUCUGCUCAGGUCAAUGCUAGUGUUGCCCGUGGCUCUUCAGGAGGGGAGGCUGUGAACAAGGCUGCAGCAGAGGGAGCUUUGCCUGCUUGCGGGAGCCGUGUGAACGUUUGCCAGGAGCCCGAGGAGCUUGAUAUCCAUGUGAUCUACCUGGCCAGAAGGGCUGCCCUGCGUGGGAAGAAGGAUCAGAGGGAGAGCCUGUGA